Molecule: long non-coding RNA, 1219 nt
Filed under: Helianthus annuus (common sunflower)
Lineage: Eukaryota; Viridiplantae; Streptophyta; Magnoliopsida; Asterales; Asteraceae
Description: hypothetical non coding rna
Source: RNAcentral
UUUCAGUCUUCUUUCUUUUCCCUCCUUCCAAACCCUAAAAUUAUUUGACUUCCCUCCCAUCCACAGUUACGCAAGCGACGGUUUUGCAAGCGAUGAACAAGAUUUGCUUCUUUCAACAGAUUGACAUCAGAUGAAGAAAUCAAAAGUUUUAAUUUGGCUUCUUGAAGUAUUAUUUGCAUUCAGGAAUAUCCCUAAAUCAUAUGGUAAGUAUCCUAAAUCCAUGAUAUUGUUGUUCAUAUGUAAGCAGGUGUCUAUUUUUUCCUGAAUUAGUUUCUUAUGUUUGACUUUAUAUAAAGGUUGCAACAAUCAUCAUCAUUUGUUUUAAUGUAGGAGCAUUUGAAAUGAGUCGACAUAAUAUCCUUUACUACUAAUCUAUAUAUAUUUAAGUUUUUGAGAUUGGGUUUUAAUCCAAGAGCAUCUCGGUAUGUGUCAUUGAAUCUAUAUAUAUAUUUAAGUUUUUGAGAUUGGAAUUUUAGGGUUGUAGUUAGGAAUUCACAACAGAGUGCAUACUUUUGUUGAUUGUUUGGUUCCUUACAAUGAAUAUUUAUGACCUUCUAAUUAAAUGUAUUUGCUAUUUUCUUAUGUGAGAAUUUUUUUAUGUGGAGAUUUCUGAAUCUCUUGUAGGAUUUCAUUACUGAUUUCAUUACUGCAGAGGAAUUGUCUAGAGAUCACAGGGAUGCCUUCAUGAACACUUGUUUAUUUGGGCAGAGGAUAUGGUUGGAAGUAAGAAUGUUUACCAACAUUCUUGUAUUAUGUAGGAAGUCACACUUGUAGAGCUUGAUGGAGACAGAGAUUACCACAUGCCUGUUGAACUUGGAGGUAGUGGUGGAAUGGUAUGCUUAAAAUAUAUUUCCGUGUCUCUGUGUUAUGCAUUAUGUUUCGCUAGGCAAUUAUUUUAUUUAUCAAGUUACUAAUUUUAUAAGGCUUUAUUUCAACUAAUUUACAUGUUGAAGUUGAGAAAAACUAGUUGCUGGAAAUGCGCUAAAGGAUUGAAGAUGGUCAUUAUAGAAAAAAAGCCGAGCUUGAAACUAUGCGAAAAGAGUUUGCCAGCCAGCGACACAACUUGGAAGCUAUGAUGCGGAAGGUUAUGAAACAAGUAGUUGGAGAUCGAGAUGAGUAGAAUGUUUUCAAUUUUUUAUUAUUGUAAUUGACUGUAGAGUUAUUUAAGUUUCGACAAACAUGUUGAAGUGCACACUUUGAUUAUCAAUGAUAUCUUUGU